GACGAACGCUGGCGGCGUGCUUAACACAUGCAAGUCGAACGAGACGAUUGAAAGCUUGCUUUUAAAAGUCGAGUGGCAAACGGGUGAGUAACGCGUAGACAACCUGCCUUUGAGAUGGGGACAACAGUUCGAAAGGACUGCUAAUACCGAAUGUUGUAUAUUUUCCACAUGGAAGAUAUAUUAAAGAUGGCCUCUAUUUAUAAGCUAUCGCCCAAAGAUGGGUCUGCGUCUGAUUAGCUGGUUGGUCGGGUAACGGCCUACCAAGGCGACGAUCAGUAGCCGGUCUGAGAGGAUGAACGGCCACAUUGGGACUGAGACACGGCCCAGACUCCUACGGGAGGCAGCAGUGGGGAAUCUUCCACAAUGGACGAAAGUCUGAUGGAGCAACGCCGCGUGAGUGAAGAAGGGUUUCGGCUCGUAAAGCUCUGUUGUCGGGGACGAAUGUGCAGUAUUUGAAUAAAGUACUGCAAUGACGGUACCUGACGAGGAAGCCGCGGCUAACUACGUGCCAGCAGCCGCAGUAA
This 524-nucleotide ribosomal RNA is filed under the name uncultured bacterium. Its description in RNAcentral is "partial 16S ribosomal RNA". It matches the Rfam family "Bacterial small subunit ribosomal RNA", at positions 28 to 523 of the family's 1533-position model. The record is from RNAcentral.